This 109-nucleotide non-coding RNA is filed under the name uncultured Catenibacillus sp. RNAcentral's name for it is "FMN riboswitch (RFN element)". It matches the Rfam family "FMN riboswitch aptamer (RFN element)". From Rfam's summary of the family: The RFN element is a highly conserved domain that is found frequently in the 5'-untranslated regions of prokaryotic mRNAs that encode for flavin mononucleotide (FMN) biosynthesis and transport proteins. Lineage: Bacteria; Bacillati; Bacillota; Clostridia; Lachnospirales; Lachnospiraceae. The record is from RNAcentral.
GUCUUCGGGGCAGGGUGAGAUUCCCGAUCGGCGGUAAAGUCCGCGAGCGCAAGGCGCAGGAUUUGGUGAGAUUCCAAAACCGACAGUAUAGUCUGGAUGAAAGAAGAUG